Molecule: ribosomal RNA, 278 nt
Filed under: uncultured Pseudomonadota bacterium
Lineage: Bacteria; Pseudomonadati; Pseudomonadota
Description: uncultured proteobacterium partial 16S ribosomal RNA
Rfam family: Bacterial small subunit ribosomal RNA
Source: RNAcentral
AAGUCUUUACGGAGAAAGCUUUAUGCACCAUUGGAUGAGCCUGCACUUGAUUAGUUUGUUGGUGGGGUAAUGGCCUACCAAGACUGUGAUCAAUAGCUGAUUUGAGAGGAUGAUCAGCCACAUUGGGACUGAGACACGGCCCAAACUCCUACGGGAGGCAGCAGUGGGGAAUCUUGCACAAUGGAGGAAACUCUGAUGCAGCGAUGCCGCGUGAGUGAAGAAGGCCUUUGGGUUGUAAAGCUCUUUCGUCGGGGAAGAAAAUGACUGUACCCGAAUAA